RNAcentral lists this transfer RNA (142 nucleotides) under Pestalotiopsis fici W106-1. It matches the Rfam family "tRNA". From Rfam's summary of the family: Transfer RNA (tRNA) molecules are approximately 80 nucleotides in length. Their secondary structure includes four short double-helical elements and three loops (D, anti-codon, and T loops). The record is from Rfam by way of RNAcentral. Lineage: Eukaryota; Fungi; Ascomycota; Sordariomycetes; Amphisphaeriales; Sporocadaceae.
GGCACUUUGGCGGAGUGGUUAACGCGAUGCCCUGCUAUUUUACAAGCAAAACCUCUAACUUCCUUCGGGAGCGUGAGGCCUGUGCAAUAAAUAGUGCUAGGCAUUUCCUUCGGGAGCGUGUGUUCGAAUCACACAGGUGUCG